ACCAAGGAGAGUUUGAUCCUGGCUCAGGAUGAACGCUAGCGGCAGGCUUAACACAUGCAAGUCGAGGGGUAUUGAGGCUUCGGCCUUGAGAGACCGGCAAACGGGUGCGGAACACGUACACAACCUACCUUUAUCAGGGGAAUAGCCUUCGGAAACGGAGAUUAAUACCCCAUAGUAUUAUUUGAUGGCAUCAUUGGAUAAUUAAAGAAUUUCGGAUAGAGAUGGGUGUGCGUAAGAUUAGCUAGUUGGUGAGGUAACUGCUCACCAAGGCAACGAUCUUUAGCUGAUGUGAGAGCAUGAUCAGCCACACGGGCACUGAGACACGGGCCCGACUCCUACGGGAGGCAGCAGUGAGGAAUAUUGGUCCAUGGACGGAAGUCUGAAC
Molecule: non-coding RNA, 385 nt
Filed under: Oryza sativa Indica Group (long-grained rice)
Lineage: Eukaryota; Viridiplantae; Streptophyta; Magnoliopsida; Poales; Poaceae
Description: Bacterial small subunit ribosomal RNA
Rfam family: Bacterial small subunit ribosomal RNA
Source: Rfam by way of RNAcentral